CAUGAAGAACGUAGCGAAAUGCGAUAAGUAAUGUGAAUUGCAGAAUUCAGUGAAUCAUCGAAUCUUUGAACGCACCUUGCACCCUUUGGCAUUCUGAAGGGUAUGCUCGUUUGAGUGUCAUUGUACUCUCACACUCCCGAUCUUUGCAUUGGGAGCAGUGGACUUGGGUUUGCUGCUUCACCGUCGCUUACCUCAAAUAGGUUAGUGCAACUCUUGGUUGGACAUAGUACGGCGUGAUAAGUGUUCUUCGCCGGUGCCUCGCAAAGAGGGUGGCCGAUCGGGAUGUUGUGCUCCAAACCGUCUUCGGACAAUCUCUGACGACUUGACCUCAAAUCGAGUAAGACUACCCGCUGAACUUAAGCAUAUCAAUAAGCGGAGGA
This 380-nucleotide unclassified non-coding RNA is filed under the name soil metagenome. RNAcentral's name for it is "partial contains 5.8S ribosomal RNA, internal transcribed spacer 2, and large subunit ribosomal RNA". The stretch from base 2 to 120 matches the Rfam family "5.8S ribosomal RNA", at positions 36 to 154 of the family's 154-position model. The record is from RNAcentral.